AAGUGCUGUUUAUUUAAAAGAACAAAAAAGAGUGGAGGCCCCCUAGGGACGGAUGAAACAAAACUAGCAGUGCAAGUCUGCCUCUAGCUCAGCAUAAAAGCUUGUUGCCCCACUGGGCCAUCUUGUUGUUGAUAGGCAUCUUCAAGAAGCAGUCAGACUGCAUGUAGGCAGCAAUUUUCUCCAAAGCCUCAACGGCACAUGAAAGCCUUAAGAUGUGGGAACUCAUCCAGGCACUUGGGCUCAAACAUGCACUUUUGAUCCAGGACGUCAUAGAUGGGAAAAUCCACAAAGGUGAGCUUUCCCCUGCAAACCAUGAGAAUUUCUCCCAGGAACAUGGAGAAUUGUUUCAGUUGUUCAGGUAGCUGUUCCAAGUACUGAGGUUUCAGUUUUUCAUGGUCAGAGUUGUAACAGCACUGUAUCAGUUGUGUGCAGAAACUGGUUGCUUGGUUCUCUAAAAUGUCCACUUGAAUCUUUUCAGUCUUACCACACAUGUGCUUGCCAGCAGUGUAGCACAAGAUGGCAUUGCUCUGGGUGACCUUGUUCUUCCCGUCCAUGAAGUUGGGCAGAUUAGGAAAGUCCAGGUCUAGCUUGAAUAUCACAUCCAGCCAUUGGCUUCAAUCAUAGGAGUUUCCUGGCAUGUGUACCAUUUCUCCUCAUAGGACAUAUCCGUGAACUACAGGAGCAGGCAAAUGGUGUGUGCCAGCCCGCAAAUAUUCCACUAACCCAGAACCAUAGAUGAGUUGCACGAUAUGAUGA
Molecule: long non-coding RNA, 756 nt
Filed under: Homo sapiens (human)
Lineage: Eukaryota; Metazoa; Chordata; Mammalia; Primates; Hominidae
Description: long non-coding RNA NONHSAT182970
Source: RNAcentral